RNAcentral lists this long non-coding RNA (296 nucleotides) under Mytilus galloprovincialis (Mediterranean mussel). Lineage: Eukaryota; Metazoa; Mollusca; Bivalvia; Mytilida; Mytilidae. The record is from RNAcentral.
AUUUUAAGUUUUGGAUUUAUGGGGCUUUAUUCAUAAAAAAAAGGGGGGAUUUUCAACACUUCGGACAAUAACUCAAAAAGGCUUUCACCAAUGUCCAUGAAACUUUGGUGAAUUGUUUAUAUCUAUUGAUGUAAGCUCCCUUUCAAUUUUUAUAAAUUUCAGAUUUUACAUUUCCGUGUUAUGAAUUUUUAUGCUGAAAAAAGGGGGGAUUUUCCAAUUUUGGGACAAUAACUAACACUUUCACAAAAUUUUAUGCAACUUUGAUAAAUUGUUUAUAUCUAUUGACAUAAGCUCCC